Molecule: long non-coding RNA, 235 nt
Organism: Podarcis raffonei (Aeolian wall lizard)
Lineage: Eukaryota; Metazoa; Chordata; Lepidosauria; Squamata; Lacertidae
Exons: 2
Source: RefSeq, a predicted model, not a curated record
UGCCAUCUUUUUUAUGAUCCACAAUAUGGAAAGAAAGAGAGAAUGAAAGAAUGAAAGGAAAGAAGGGGGGAAAGAAAACAAUCCUUCAGUUAGAAAGGUAGCACAGCAGGGGCAAAGCUGAGAUUAGACACUACAGGCAGCCAUGUGGUUUCGAUCUGGCCUGGUAUUUCAAGAUGCAGGCGAAUUCAUUGUCUCUGGCGCAUGUUCCGAAUAAAUCAUACUUACUCGUUGUGUA